GACGAACGCUGGCGGCGUGCCUAAUACAUGCAAGUCGAACGCUUCUUUCCUCCCGAGUGCUUGCACUCAAUUGGAAAGAGGAGUGGCGGACGGGUGAGUAACACGUGGGUAACCUACCCAUCAGAGGGGGAUAACACUUGGAAACAGGUGCUAAUACCGCAUAACAGUUUAUGCCGCAUGGCAUAAGAGUGAAAGGCGCUUUCGGGGGUCGCUGAGGGAUGGACCCGCGGUGCAUUAGCUAGUUGGUGAGGUAACGGUUCACCAAGGCCACGAUGCAUAGCCGACCUGAGAGGGUGAUCGGCCACACUGGGACUGAGACACGGCCCAGACUCCUACGGGAGGCAGCAGUAGGGAAUCUUCGGCAAUGGACGAAAGUCUGACCGAGCAACGCCGCGUGAGUGAAGAAGGUUUUCGGAUCGUAAAACUCUGUUGUUAGAGAAGAACAAGGACGUUAGUAACUGAACGUCCCCUGACGGUAUCUAACCAGAAAGACACGGCUAACUACGUG
This 508-nucleotide ribosomal RNA is filed under the name uncultured bacterium. Its description in RNAcentral is "partial 16S ribosomal RNA". It matches the Rfam family "Bacterial small subunit ribosomal RNA", at positions 28 to 507 of the family's 1533-position model. The record is from RNAcentral.